GAAAAGAAAAUGUAAGAUAUUGCCCAAGCUAGUGGCCAUGAACUCGUCAAGUUCAUUCAAUUUAUUGCUGUCAAAUUAUAAGAGCAAAUCCCUUAAGUUCCUUGAUACAUGAUCAGUCAAAAUUGUCAAUUUUGAUUGGAUUAAUCUCAUCUGCAACAUUGAAGUUUCCAACCAAUCGUGCAAAAAACACCAUUUCUUGUUCCAGCGUAAAUUUAAUAUUUUCAGCCUUACGAAAACCAUGCUGUUCCCCUUCAUACUCGACAAGAGCAACUGGCAAACCCUUCUUCUUCAGUGCCUGGUAUAUUGUACGAGCUUGAUCAGGGGGUACAACCUUAUCUUCUAAUCCUUGGAACAAAAUUAUGGGGCAAGAAAAUCUAUCAACAAAAUUUAUUGGAGACCUCUCAUAGUAAUCCUUUUCAUCACCAAUAAGAUUAUCAAGGUAAUGAGACUCAAAUUUGUGAGUUUCUGCUCUUAACAUGCUUAAGUCAGCCACACCAUACAAUGAAGCUCCAGCCUUAAAUGUUUCUUUAAAAGCAAGGGCAGCUAAGGUUGUAUAACCGCCGGCUGAGCCACCAGUUAUACACAGUCGGCCACCAUCUGCCUUUCCACUAUCCACCAAAAAUUUUGCACAACUGCAACAGUCAUUAACAUCAACAAUUCCCCAGUUUCCUAAUAAGCGUUCUCGAUAUUCUCUACCAUAACCAGUGCUUCCACCAUAAUUUACAUCCACAAAAGCCCAUCCACGACUUGUCCAAUACUGGAUACUCAGAUUCAAAAUUCCGCGCGUUUCACUUGUAGGUCCUCCAUGACUUUUCAACAACAAUGGAGGCUUUUCUUCUGGACUAGCAUGGUAAAUGGGAUUCAAAGGUGGAUAAAAGUAUGCAUAUGCAUUUUGACCAGGAACUCCAGUAGGGAAUUCAAUCAGCUCUGGCAAGCUGAAAUAUGACGUAUACUUUAAACUAUCGGGUGAUGAUGACCAAACAACCUUGAAAUCAACUACUUUGGAUCCUUGGUCAUCCAAAUUCACCUUAGCCACUGAUGAUGGAUGAACUGCAGAUGCGCCCUCGACGUAUAGACAAUGGUGCCCUGAAGUAAUAUUAUCUAUGUCUGUGAAGGGAAUAUCAAGCAGAGAAAGUGAGCUUUGAGCACAGUCCAGAAUACCAAGACAGGAUCUACCCUUCUGCCUGUAGCUGCAAGCAAUUAAGUUCUUUCCCUCUUUGUUCUGAACAAGCUCAUAAGAGUUUAUGCCGAAUACCCAUAAUGGUCUUGAGAACUCAGCAUCCAAGGAAUAGAGUGCUUGCACAUCAUUUACAGAUUCAAUCCAUUUGUAUAGAUUCCAAAAUCCAUUUUUUCUGUCAGUGAUAAAGAAUAACUCCCCUGUAGAGGACCACUUGGGUUCAGUUGGAGAUUCAACAAUUGUAUUAUCAUUGCCAGCAACACAGGUGCAUUUAUAGAUAUCUCCAUUCUNAAUAUAGCCAACCCAGAGUUCCGAUUUAUCCCAUGGCAUGUUAGGGUGACACCAUUCUAUCCAUGCUAUCCGUUCACCUUUCGGGUCCACACGAGGGAAUGCAUAGAAGUCAUUGCCACUAACUAAUACUUUUGGUUCCUCUAUUGACGCAUCAUUGAGACCAAUUGCUACAAUCGUUGUAAUUGCAUUUAUGCUGCUUACACGGCGAUCUUCCAUUACAGUGACAAAACGGUUAAAGCGUGAAUCAAAGACUCCAUCGGCAUAAGAGACAACUGGUGAGCCACAAUCAGGUGUAAUUGGAACAGGAGUAGAAUCUAUGGAAUCGACAGAUUGCUUGUACAGUCUUUGGUCCUUGUAAUUUGCGAAGAUGACAGUAUCCCCUGAUAUCGUAAACGCGCCUCCUCCAUACUCCUGGGCAGUAGUUCGCACCGAAAAUUCUUUCGGGGUGACAUCGAUAGCUUCCUCUCCAGCUUUCUCUUCUCCCUUAACCAGAACCGAUCGCCCAGCUUCAGUGGGUNGCUUCAGUGGGUCGGGAUUCAAGCCAGAAGAGGCGACCGCGGCCGUCAAUGGCGGUACCGUCGAGUCGCUUGGAUGCGCCAGAGACGAUAUCGGCGGUGAUUGGAGACUUCCAAGAGCCGUAAGGAGCAGUGACUUUAUCUUGUCUAGCAGCUGAUUCUACUGGCUGUACUGAAGAAGCCAUCGUUCUACAGCUACAAUGAUGCUGCCUCUUGGGGAAGAUGGUACCGGUGAUUACACGAAUAUGGCUAAAUUUGAAGAGACUACAAGAAUGAGAAUAAGAUGGAGCAGAUAAGCGAG
Molecule: unclassified non-coding RNA, 2284 nt
Filed under: Hevea brasiliensis (rubber tree)
Lineage: Eukaryota; Viridiplantae; Streptophyta; Magnoliopsida; Malpighiales; Euphorbiaceae
Source: RNAcentral